GCCGAAGUGGUGGAAUUGGUAGACACGCAUGAUUCAGGUUCAUGUGCUCGUAAGGGCAUGGGAGUUCGAGUCUCCCCUUCGGCACCA
This 87-nucleotide transfer RNA is filed under the name Desulfuromonadales bacterium. RNAcentral describes it as "tRNA-Leu". It matches the Rfam family "tRNA". Rfam says of the family: Transfer RNA (tRNA) molecules are approximately 80 nucleotides in length. Their secondary structure includes four short double-helical elements and three loops (D, anti-codon, and T loops). Lineage: Bacteria; Pseudomonadati; Thermodesulfobacteriota; Desulfuromonadia; Desulfuromonadales. The record is from RNAcentral.